Molecule: ribosomal RNA, 493 nt
Filed under: uncultured fungus
Lineage: Eukaryota; Fungi
Description: eukaryotic LSU rRNA
Rfam family: 5.8S ribosomal RNA (bases 149-302)
Source: RNAcentral
ACCGAGUACUCUGCUCAUUCCCUGUGAACCUAUCUGUUGCCUCGGCAGGGAGCUCUGCUAGGCGGCGGCCCCUGGGCCUCCGCACCUGCCAAGGCCUUCAUACCAUUCAGUAGUUAUCAGAGUAAGCUUGAACAAGCAAAACAACCAAAACUUUCAACAAUGGAUCUCUUGGUUCUGGCAUCGAUGAAGAACGCAGCGAAAUGCGAUAAAUAAUGUGAAUUGCAGAAUUCAGUGAAUCAUCGAAUCUUUGAACGCACAUUGCGCCCCUUGGUAUUCCGGGGGGCAUGCCUGUUCGAGCGUCAUUACAACCCUCAAGCCUAGCUUGGUAUUGGGCUUCGCCGUUCACCCGGCGGGCCUUAAAAUUAGUGGCGGUGCCGUUGUGGCCCUGAGCGCAGUAAAUAUCCUCGCUAUAGGGACACGGUGGUUGCUUGCCAAUAACCCCCAACUUUCCAAGUUUGACCUCGGAUCAGGUAGGGAUACCCGCUGAACUUAA